Molecule: ribosomal RNA, 253 nt
Filed under: uncultured bacterium
Lineage: Bacteria
Description: partial 16S ribosomal RNA
Rfam family: Bacterial small subunit ribosomal RNA
Source: RNAcentral
UACGAAGGGGGCUAGCGUUGCUCGGAAUCACUGGGCGUAAAGCGCACGUAGGCGGCUUUGUAAGUUAGGGGUGAAAGCCCGGAGCUCAACUCCGGAAUUGCCUUUAAGACUGCAUCGCUUGAAUCCGGGAGAGGUGAGUGGAAUUCCGAGUGUAGAGGUGAAAUUCGUAGAUAUUCGGAAGAACACCAGUGGCGAAGGCGGCUCACUGGACCGGUAUUGACGCUGAGGUGCGAAAGCGUGGGGAGCAAACAGG